GAUGAACGCUAGCUACAGGCUUAACACAUGCAAAUCGAGGGGAAACGAUAUUGGAAGCUUGCUUCCGAUAGGCGUCGACCGGCGCACGGGUGAGUAACGCGUAUCCAACCUCCCCACCACUUGGGAAUAACCUUGCGAAAGUAAGACUAAUGCCCAAUGAUAUCUCUAGAACACAUCUGAAAGAGAUUAAAGAUUAUUCGGUGAUGGAUGGGGAUGCGUCUGAUUAGCUUGUUGGCGGGGUAACGGCCCACCAAGGCGACGAUCAGUAGGGGUUCCGAGAGGAAGGUCCCCCACAUUGGAACUGAGACACGGUCCAAACUCCUACGGGAGGCAGCAGUGAGGAAUAUUGGUCAAUGGGCGAGAGCCUGAACCAGCCAAGUAGCGUGCAGGAUGACGGCCCUAUGGGUUGUAAACUGCUUUUAUAAGGGAAUAAAGUGAGCCUCGUGAGGCUUUUUGCAUGUACCUUAUGAAUAAGGACCGGCUAAUUCCGUGCCAGCAGCCGCCGUAA
RNAcentral lists this ribosomal RNA (508 nucleotides) under uncultured bacterium. RNAcentral describes it as "partial 16S ribosomal RNA". It matches the Rfam family "Bacterial small subunit ribosomal RNA", at positions 28 to 523 of the family's 1533-position model. The record is from RNAcentral.